AUUGAACGCUGGCGGAAUGCUUUACACAUGCAAGUCGAACGGCAGCACGGGAGCUUGCUCCUGGUGGCGAGUGGCGAACGGGUGAGUAACAUAUCGGAACGUACCCAGUCGUGGGGGAUAACUAUCCGAAAGGAUAGCUAAUACCGCAUACGUCCUGAGGGAGAAAGCGGGGGAUCGCAAGACCUCGCGCGAUUGGAGCGGCCGAUAUCGGAUUAGCUAGUUGGUGGGGUAAAGGCUCACCAAGGCGACGAUCCGUAGCGGGUCUGAGAGGACGACCCGCCACACUGGAACUUAGACACGGUCCAGACUCCUACGGGAGGCAGCAGUGGGGAAUUUUGGACAAUGGGGGCAACCCUGAUCCAGCCAUUCCGCGUGAGUGAAGAAGGCCUUCGGGUUGUAAAGCUCUUUCAGCAGGAACGAAACGGUCGGCUUUAAUAAAGUCGGCUAAUGACGGUACCUGCAGAAGAAGCACCGGCUAACUACGUG
Molecule: ribosomal RNA, 486 nt
Filed under: uncultured bacterium
Lineage: Bacteria
Description: partial 16S ribosomal RNA
Rfam family: Bacterial small subunit ribosomal RNA
Source: RNAcentral